This is a long non-coding RNA of Clupea harengus (Atlantic herring), 370 nucleotides long. Lineage: Eukaryota; Metazoa; Chordata; Actinopteri; Clupeiformes; Clupeidae. The record is from Ensembl.
GGGUCAGGGUUAGGGUUAGGGUGAGGUUACACUGAUUUAAAGGGUGAGUGUGUGUGUGAGGUUACACUGAUUUAAAGGGUGAGUGUGUGUGUGAGGUUACACUGAUUUAAAGGGUGAGUGUGAGUGUGUGUGUGAGGUUACACUGAUUUAAAGGGUGAGUGUGAGGUGGUCCACUGAGGCACUUAGAUGUUUCACACUUCUGUGUGUCGUCCUUGAUGAGUGUGUGCGAGAGAGAGAGUGUGUAUGUGUGUGUACAGGAGAUUUUAGCUUUGUGUGUGUGUGAGAGAGAGAAAAAGAGAAGGAGAGAGAGAGUGAGUGUGUGUUUGCACUUUUUGAAGUAUGAUCGGAACAUGAUAUGGUAUAACAUGAU